AGCAGCCGCGGUAAUUCCAGCUCCAAUAGCGUAUAUUAAAGUUGUUGCAGUUAAAAAGCUCGUAGUUGAAUUUCGGGAUCAAAUUGUUGGUCGUGCCUCGGUACGCACUGGUAUUAUUGGUUCCUACCUUCUGAAGAACCGCGAUGUCAUUAAUUUGGUGUCGUGGGGAAUCAGGACUGUUACUUUGAAAAAAUUAGAGUGUUUAAAGCAGGCUUACGCUUGAAUACAUUAGCAUGGAAUAAUGAAAUAGGACGUUUGAUUCUAUUUUGUUGGUUUCUAGGAUUGACGUAAUGAUUAAUAGGGAUAGUUGGGGGCAUUAGUAUUCAAUUGUCAGAGGUGAAAUUCUUGGAUUUAUUGAAGACUAACUACUGCGAAAGCAUUUGCCAAGGAUGUUUUCAUUAAUCAAGAACGAAAGUUAGGGGAUCGAAGACGAUCAGAUACCGUCGUAGUCUUAACCAUAAACUAUGCCGACUAGGGAUC
RNAcentral lists this ribosomal RNA (480 nucleotides) under uncultured Glomus. RNAcentral's name for it is "SSU rRNA". It matches the Rfam family "Eukaryotic small subunit ribosomal RNA", at positions 569 to 1054 of the family's 1831-position model. Lineage: Eukaryota; Fungi; Glomeromycota; Glomeromycetes; Glomerales; Glomeraceae. The record is from RNAcentral.